Molecule: long non-coding RNA, 1217 nt
Filed under: Lathyrus oleraceus (garden pea)
Lineage: Eukaryota; Viridiplantae; Streptophyta; Magnoliopsida; Fabales; Fabaceae
Description: Pisum sativum (pea) long non-coding RNA (PSAT_LNC031576)
Source: RNAcentral
UUAGGGAUGGGUAGGUGGGUUGAUUAUGAGUGCAAAGGAAGGUUAAGUUGGCUUGACGGAGCAUCCAUUCGAUACCUUGGAGUAAUCCUAAUUGUUGUAAACAAGUUAAAUCGGGGUACCUGGUGGAAACGACGCCUCGCUGUUGGAAACGCUCGAAUUGCUCCCUUUGAUAAUUUUCAUCUUCGGAUCGGAAGAUGAUAUUUCCGAAAUUCUGAUUUCCUGCCAUUGUGAUGAAUGAAUUUUGAAGGAGUGAUUUGGAAAGAAAAGAAAUGUAUUUGAUAGGAGAGAAUGGUUUGUGGUGAAUGAAGGAAGGUUUGGUGGGUAUUUAUAGGAGAAGAAUUUGGAAGUUGGAAAGAAGAAGUGGUUGAAAAGUAAUUAAGUGUGGUUGAAUGGAAAUUAAUGGGGAAGGUAAAAAGUAAAAAGGUGUAACGUUCGUCUCCAACGGCUCCUUAACGUUCACUAGUCUGAAGGGUGUUACGCUCGUCACAGGGGUGUGACGUUCGUAACAGGCACUUGGUGUGCCGUCCGUUAUGGAUUUGUGUGACGCUCGUCACACAUUCCAUUUUGGCAAGGCUUCAGUAGCGUUUCACAGAAUCAAUUUGGUAAAGGAUUUUAUUUUUGUUAUUUAUUUUGUUUUGUUUUGCUUAUGAUUGGUUUAUUUUGCAAUUUAAUUUAUCGUGCACGCUUAAUCUGCUUUGUAUAAUAAUAAGUCAUAGGUAGCAACAUUAGAGCAUAAUAGCUAUUGCAUAAUAAAAUUAAAUAAACAGCUUCAAUAAAAUGAUCAUAAUGUAAUACAGGAAAGGAAAACAAUGAAAUGAAAGAGAAAUAAAUGUGAACAUGAAUUCAAAUAACAUUAAUGAAUAAUCUAACUUAAAACUAAAUAACUUAGAAAAAUAACUAAAUUCUAUCCCUCUGUACGAUCUCUGGCCGGAGGAGCAAAAGAGUUAACACGAUGUAGCAACUCGUGAAACUGAUCUGUCAUACUGCUCAUGUAUCCUAGAACUUCGUGUCUCAUGUUAGUAAAUUCUCCUCUGAGGGCGUCUUGUUCUGACAUCAAAGCUUCAAUGGCGGUGUUAUAAUCAGUUCCGGGCAUAUGAUGCCGGAGGUCGGAUAUGGCUGAUUCUUCGGUCUGAACAGGCUGAGGAGGAGGGUCAAUAUCAUAAUAGCCGGAUGGUGUCUGAGGGUCAGAUUCAGCAUGAGGGAUCUGGUCAUCAUAA